UACGUAGGAGACGAGCGUUGUCCGGAAUUACUGGGCGUAAAGCGCGUGUAGGCGGAUAGGCAAGUCUGCUGUGAAAGCUCCUGGCUUAACCGGGAGUGGUCGGUGGAAACUGCUUAUCUGGAGGACGGUAGAGGCUGGUGGAAUUCCCGGUGUAGUGGUGAAAUGCGUAGAUAUGCGGAGGAACACCGAUGGCGAAGGCAAUCCCCUGGACCUGUACUGACGCUCAUGCACGAAAGCGUGGGGAGCAAACGAGG
Molecule: ribosomal RNA, 254 nt
Filed under: uncultured bacterium
Lineage: Bacteria
Description: partial 16S ribosomal RNA
Rfam family: Bacterial small subunit ribosomal RNA
Source: RNAcentral